RNAcentral lists this unclassified non-coding RNA (124 nucleotides) under Flavobacterium aquidurense. RNAcentral describes it as "Flavo-1 RNA". Lineage: Bacteria; Pseudomonadati; Bacteroidota; Flavobacteriia; Flavobacteriales; Flavobacteriaceae. The record is from RNAcentral.
CCCUAGCCCCGAUAGAAGUGGAAAUCCUUUUAUUCUGGGGUUCAGAAUAAAAGAUUACUUCACUUAAUUUUUAUUUUAAUUGGAGUUCAGUGAACUUCGUCUACAACGGAUAGCGGGAAUUAGC